Molecule: non-coding RNA, 98 nt
Organism: Acanthosepion pharaonis
Lineage: Eukaryota; Metazoa; Mollusca; Cephalopoda; Sepiida; Sepiidae
Source: the annotation of a GenBank genome assembly
UUGAAACACCAGUUCCUGUAUGAUCGCUGAAGUUAAGCAAUAUCAAGCCUGGUCAAUACUUAGAUGAGUGAUCAGUUGCGAAUACCAGGUGUUGUAAG